AAGAAAUUAGUUAAUAAUUUAUAACAUUAGUUUGUCAAAUUAAAAUAAUCUUUUUUAGAUAUUUCUUA
RNAcentral lists this transfer RNA (68 nucleotides) under Scyra compressipes. RNAcentral describes it as "tRNA-Asp". Lineage: Eukaryota; Metazoa; Arthropoda; Malacostraca; Decapoda; Pisidae. The record is from RNAcentral.